Molecule: ribosomal RNA, 373 nt
Filed under: uncultured eukaryote
Lineage: Eukaryota
Description: partial 18S ribosomal RNA
Rfam family: Eukaryotic small subunit ribosomal RNA
Source: RNAcentral
CAAUAGCGCAUAUUAAAGUUGUUGCAGUUAAAAAGCUCGUAGUUGGAUUUCUGCCAGGGUGCCAAUGUCCGCCGAAGUGCGUGCGCAGCGGCGCCCUCGCAUCCUUCUGUUAACGCCUCUCGGCAUUUACUUGCCGGUGGUGGGCUCAGAUAAUUUACCUUGAGAAAAUUAGAGUGUUUCAGGCAGGCUAGGCCGGAAUACAUUAGCAUGGAAUAAUGGAAUAGGACUACGGUCUCGUUGUUGGUUUGAGGGACUGGAGUAAUGAUUAAUAGGGAUAGUUGGGGGCAUUAGUAUUUAAUUGUCAGAGGUGAAAUUCUCAGAUUUGUUAAAGACUAACUUAUGCGAAAGCAUUUGCCAAGGAUGUUUUCAUUAA